Molecule: ribosomal RNA, 105 nt
Filed under: Ovis aries (sheep)
Lineage: Eukaryota; Metazoa; Chordata; Mammalia; Artiodactyla; Bovidae
Source: RNAcentral
AUCUAUGACCAUACCACCCUUAGAGCACCGGAUCUCACCGGAUCUCAGAAGCUAAGCAGGGUCGGGCCUGGUUAGUACUUGGAUGGGGAACAGUCUUCGCAGAUG